RNAcentral lists this ribosomal RNA (614 nucleotides) under uncultured bacterium. RNAcentral's name for it is "bacterial SSU rRNA". It matches the Rfam family "Bacterial small subunit ribosomal RNA", at positions 59 to 680 of the family's 1533-position model. The record is from RNAcentral.
AAGUCGAACGAGAACCGCUCGUCUCGUAAGAGACGGACGGGGACAGUGGCGAACGGGUGCGUAACACGUGAGAAACCUGCCCCGAAGAUCGGGAUAGCCCGGGGAAACCCGGAUUAAUACCGGAUACCCUCGUGGGGUCGCAUGACCUCGCAAGGAAAUGGUCCGCCGCUUCGGGAUGGUCUCGCGGCCUAUCAGCUUGUUGGUGAGGUAACGGCUCACCAAGGCAGCGACGGGUAGCUGGUCUGAGAGGACGAUCAGCCACACUGGGACUGAGACACGGCCCAGACUCCUACGGGAGGCAGCAGCAGGGAAUAUUGCACAAUGGGCGAAAGCCUGAUGCAGCGACGCCGCGUGCGGGAUGAAUGCCUUCGGGUUGUAAACCGCUUUCAGGAGGGACGAAAAUGACGGUACCUCCAGAAGAAGGCCCGGCCAACUACGUGCCAGCAGCCGCGGUAACACGUAGGGGCCGAACGUUGUCCGGAUUUAUUGGGCGUAAAGGACUCGUAGGCGGUUUGACAAGUCGGUCGUGAAAACCCGGGGCUCAACCCCGGGACGCCGAUCGAAACUGUCAUGACUAGGGUCCGGUAGAGGUGAGUGGAAUUCUCGGUGUAGCG